RNAcentral lists this ribosomal RNA (576 nucleotides) under uncultured bacterium. RNAcentral describes it as "bacterial SSU rRNA". It matches the Rfam family "Bacterial small subunit ribosomal RNA", at positions 54 to 617 of the family's 1533-position model. The record is from RNAcentral.
CAUGCAAGUCGAACGGCAGCGCGGGGCAACCUGGCGGCGAGUUGGCGAACGGGCCCCNUUNUAUAUCGGAACGUACCCUGGAGUGGGGGAUAACGUACCGNAAGUUACGCUAAUACCGCAUACGAUCUAAGGAUGAAAGUGGGGGAUUCGCAAGAACCUCAUGCUCCUGGAGCGGCCGAUAUCUGAUUAGCUAGUUGGUGGGGUAAAGGCCUACCAAGGCAUCGAUCAGUAGCUGGUCUGAGAGGACGACCAGCCACACUGGAACUGAGACACGGUCCAGACUCCUACGGGAGGCAGCAGUGGGGAAUUUCGGACAAUGGGCGCAAGCCUGAUCCAGCAAUGCCGCGUGAGUGAAGAAGGCCUUCGGGUUGUAAAGCUCUUUUGUCAGGGAAGAAACGGUGAGGGCUAAUAUCCCUUGCUAAUGACGGUACCUGAAGAAUAAGCACCGGCUANCUACGUGCCANUCACCCGCGGUAAUACGUAGGGUGCAAGCGUUUAAUCGGAAUUACUGGGCGUACAGNGAGCGCUCCCUGAUUUGUAAGUCCUGUCNGUGAAAAUCCCCGGNCCUCAACCUGG